Molecule: ribosomal RNA, 474 nt
Filed under: uncultured bacterium
Lineage: Bacteria
Description: bacterial SSU rRNA
Rfam family: Bacterial small subunit ribosomal RNA
Source: RNAcentral
UGGGGAAUUGUUCACAAUGGGCGCAAGCCUGAUGACGCAACGCCGCGUGGGGGAUGAAGGUCUUCGGAUCGUAAACCCCUGUCGAAUGGGACGAAAGACUCGCGAGUGAAUACUUCGCGAGAGUGACGGUACCGUUAAAGGAAGCCACGGCUAACUCUGUGCCAGCAGCCGCGGUAAUACAGAGGUGGCAAGCGUUGUUCGGAAUUACUGGGCGUAAAGGGCGCGUAGGCGGCCCUCUAAGUCAGACGUGAAAUCCCCCGGCUUAACCUGGGAACUGCACUUGUGACUGCAUAGCUGGAGUACGGCAGAGGGGGGAUGGAAUUCCGCGUGUAGCAGUGAAAUGCGUAGAUAUGCGGAGGAACACCGAUGGCGAAGGCAGUCCCCUGGGCCUGUACUGACGCUCAUGCACGAAAGCGUGGGGAGCGAACAGGAUUAGAUACCCAGGUAGUCCCUGAGCGGGCUGGCAAGGCGCAU